This is a long non-coding RNA of Lemur catta (Ring-tailed lemur), 328 nucleotides long. RefSeq lists it as uncharacterized. The record is from RefSeq and is a predicted model, not a curated record. The transcript has 3 exons. Lineage: Eukaryota; Metazoa; Chordata; Mammalia; Primates; Lemuridae.
GGGUGUACCAUGCUCCCGGUUUCGUCAAGGAUCUGUACAAUCCUACAGAAGACACUUCCAGAGAAAGUAACAGUCAUUUAUGCUGGGACAUCCUGCCUUUGGACUUGGACUUGGACUUGGACUUGGACUGGAAUUUAAAUGUUGGCUUUAACGGUUUUCAGAUCUUCAGACUUAGACUGGAACUGUACCAUCAGCUCUCCUGGGUCUUCAGUUUGCCAACAGCAGAUCUUCAGACUUCUCAGCCUUUGUAAUUGUGUGAGCCAAUUCCUUGUAAUAAAUAUCUCUUCAUCUUCAUCUUCAUAUCGCGCACGCAUGUGCGCUCGCGCGC